UACAGAGGUCUCAAGCGUUGUUCGGAUUCAUUGGGCGUAAAGGGUGCGUAGGCGGCGCGGUAAGUCGGGUGUGAAAUCUCGGAGCUUAACUCCGAAACUGCAUUCGAUACUGCCGUGCUUGAGGACUGGAGAGGAGACUGGAAUUUACGGUGUAGCGGUGAAAUGCGUAGAUAUCUGAAGGAACACCAGUGGCGAAAGCGGCUUCCUGGUCCAGUACCGACGUUCAGGCACGAAAGCGUGGGGAGCAAACAGG
Molecule: ribosomal RNA, 253 nt
Filed under: uncultured bacterium
Lineage: Bacteria
Description: partial 16S ribosomal RNA
Rfam family: Bacterial small subunit ribosomal RNA
Source: RNAcentral